Molecule: ribosomal RNA, 393 nt
Filed under: uncultured bacterium
Lineage: Bacteria
Description: partial 16S ribosomal RNA
Rfam family: Bacterial small subunit ribosomal RNA
Source: RNAcentral
AUACGGAGGAUGCAAGCGUUAUCCGGAUUUAUUGGGUUUAAAGGGUGCGUAGGCGGUUUGCUAAGCGGGAGGUGAAAUGCCGGCGCUCAACGUCGGAAGUGCCUCCCGAACUGGUGGACUUGAAUGACUCUGCCGUGGGAGGAAUGUGUAGUGUAGCGGUGAAAUGCUUAGAGAUUACACAGAACACCGAUUGCGAAGGCAUCUCACGAAGGGUUGAUUGACGCUGAGGCACGAAAGCGUGGGGAUCAAACAGGAUUAGAUACCCUGGUAGUCCACGCAGUAAACGAUGAUUACUAGUUGUUUGCGAUACAAUGUAAGCGACUGAGCGAAAGCGUUAAGUAAUCCACCUGGGGAGUACGUUCGCAAGAAUGAAACUCAAAGGAAUUGACGGGG